UAGGGAAUCUUCGGCAAUGGACGAAAGUCUGACCGAGCAACGCCGCGUGAGUGAAGAAGGUUUUCGGAUCGUAAAACUCUGUUGUUAGAGAAGAACAAGGACGUUAGUAACUGAACGUCCUCUGACGGUAUCUAACCAGAAAGCCACGGCUAACUACGUGCC
This 162-nucleotide ribosomal RNA is filed under the name uncultured bacterium. RNAcentral describes it as "partial 16S ribosomal RNA". It matches the Rfam family "Bacterial small subunit ribosomal RNA", at positions 355 to 509 of the family's 1533-position model. The record is from RNAcentral.